GCGCACCAGGCGAGAAACCUCCACAAUGCGGGAAACCGUGAUGGGGGGAAUCCGAGUGCCCGUUGGCUAAUGCUGGCGGGCUUUUCUCAAGCGUAAAAGGCUUGAGGAAUAAGGACUGGGUAAGACCGGUGCCAGCCGCCGCGGUAACACCGGCGGUCCAACUGGUGAUCAGCAUUAUUGGGUCUAAAGCGUCCGUAGCCGGAUGGUUGAUUUCGAGUGAAACUUCCCCAGCUUAACGUGGGGGGCUGCUUGAAA
This 255-nucleotide ribosomal RNA is filed under the name uncultured microorganism. RNAcentral describes it as "partial 16S ribosomal RNA". It matches the Rfam family "Archaeal small subunit ribosomal RNA", at positions 330 to 581 of the family's 1478-position model. The record is from RNAcentral.